AUUGAACGCUGGCGGCAUGCUUUACACAUGCAAGUCGAACGGCAGCACAGGGAGCUUGCUCCUGGGUGGCGAGUGGCGAACGGGUGAGUAAUGUAUCGGAACGUGCCUGGUAGUGGGGGAUAACUACUCGAAAGAGUGGCUAAUACCGCAUGAGAUCUUUGGAUGAAAGCGGGGGACCUUCGGGCCUCGUGCUACUGGAGCGGCCGAUAUCAGAUUAGGUUGUUGGUGGGGUAAAGGCCUACCAAGCCUGCGAUCUGUAGCUGGUCUGAGAGGACGACCAGCCACACUGGGACUGAGACACGGCCCAGACUCCUACGGGAGGCAGCAGUGGGGAAUUUUGGACAAUGGGCGCAAGCCUGAUCCAGCAAUGCCGCGUGCAGGACGAAGGCCUUCGGGUUGUAAACUGCUUUUGUACAGAACGAAAAGGCUCUGGCUAAUAUCUAGAGAUCAUGACGGUACUGGAAGAAUAAGCACCGGCUAACUACGUG
This 488-nucleotide ribosomal RNA is filed under the name uncultured bacterium. RNAcentral describes it as "partial 16S ribosomal RNA". It matches the Rfam family "Bacterial small subunit ribosomal RNA", at positions 30 to 507 of the family's 1533-position model. The record is from RNAcentral.